CCUGAACGCUGGCGGCGUGGCUAAGACAUGCAAGUCGCACGGGCCUAGCAAUAGGUCAGUGGCGAACGGGUGAGUAAUGAAUCGCUAACGUGCCCCGGACUCUGGGAUAGCUGGCCGAAAGGCUAGGUAAUACCAGAUGACAUAACCCUUCCGCAUGGUGGGGUUCUCAAAGGUCCGCCGGUCUGGGAGCGGGCGAUUUCGUAUCAGCUAGUUGGUGCGGGUAACGGCCCACCAAGGCGACGACGCGUAGCCGGACUGAGAGGUUGGCCGGCCACAUUGGGACUGAGACACUGCCCAGACUCCUACGGGGGGCUNCAGUAACGAAUCUUCCGCAAUGCACGCAAGUGUGACGGAGCGACGCCGCGUGUGGGACGAACG
This 378-nucleotide ribosomal RNA is filed under the name uncultured bacterium. Its description in RNAcentral is "bacterial SSU rRNA". It matches the Rfam family "Bacterial small subunit ribosomal RNA", at positions 30 to 414 of the family's 1533-position model. The record is from RNAcentral.